UUGACACAGUGUCUUUCAUUGUAUAUGGUA
RNAcentral lists this non-coding RNA (30 nucleotides) under Mus musculus (house mouse). Lineage: Eukaryota; Metazoa; Chordata; Mammalia; Rodentia; Muridae. The record is from RNAcentral.